CCCUUAGGCCUGAGCUGAGGGUGGGUGCGGGAUACAAAUCAGGUAUCCGCCCUCAUCGCCUCACAGCCUGGUGACAGAAGCAGGUGCCUGAAGGGACAAUUGUGAUGCAGGAUGGAAGCCCUGUGGUCAGUCGCUCUAGGUCUCUUAACACCUGGAGCAAGGAGCGGGGAGCCCACCGGCGCCAAGGCAUGGGAGGAAGCAUGAUGCUCAGGUUAAGCCUGGGGCUGCUGCUCCUGGCUGUGCUGCUGCCUCUGCAGUUGGACGCCCAGGUUACCACGCCACCUGCGCCUGGGGGCGGUGGCGGUGGCGGUGGCGGUGGCGGUGGCGGUGGCAGUGGCGGCGGUACCAGCAGUGUCAGCGCCCUGCAGUCUUCUGUCAGUGUUCUCGUCUUGUCGCUGUCCUUUCUUCUCCAUCUCUACUGUUAAACUCAGGCCGAGAAACAUCUUCACUUCCCGCAACCCAUUUUAGAACCGCGGUGGAAAUGACCUUCUACAAAAGAUCAGUGUGCUCUGGACAACGUCGAUGAAGGCCGAAGUCGGAGUUGGAGUUUCGUGUAGGAGAUGGAGCGGACAGAGAACAGCCAAAAUUAGUGAAAGAUGCGGUUUUAUGACCCGGGGCUUAAGAAAUAUGGACUCUUUCAACACAACCUUGAAAAGAAUAAUUUCAUCUUGAAUUGAGGGAGAAAAAGAUGGGAUGUGGAAUGGAGAUUGUUUUAAUUUCAAUUCACCAAAUCUGUAAGGCCAUAAAAAAUUAUGUACUCUAAAAGGCUUCUGUGGUUCACUUUGUACACUGUCAGUUGUACCUAUAAAUUAGUACUAAUUUCAUGCUG
Molecule: long non-coding RNA, 829 nt
Filed under: Chinchilla lanigera (long-tailed chinchilla)
Lineage: Eukaryota; Metazoa; Chordata; Mammalia; Rodentia; Chinchillidae
Description: lncRNA (ENSCLAG00000029019.1)
Source: RNAcentral